This 30-nucleotide non-coding RNA is filed under the name Mus musculus (house mouse). The record is from RNAcentral. Lineage: Eukaryota; Metazoa; Chordata; Mammalia; Rodentia; Muridae.
UNGCCAUGAUGCUAAUACUGAAUGUUUUCC